CCACUGAACACAGUGCUUUUGCCACUAAUU
RNAcentral lists this non-coding RNA (30 nucleotides) under Homo sapiens (human). Lineage: Eukaryota; Metazoa; Chordata; Mammalia; Primates; Hominidae. The record is from RNAcentral.